RNAcentral lists this ribosomal RNA (252 nucleotides) under uncultured bacterium. RNAcentral describes it as "partial 16S ribosomal RNA". It matches the Rfam family "Bacterial small subunit ribosomal RNA", at positions 524 to 776 of the family's 1533-position model. The record is from RNAcentral.
UACGAAGGGGGCUAGCGUUGCUCGGAAUCACUGGGCGUAAAGCGCACGUAGGCGGAUCGUUAAGUCAGGGGUGAAAUCCUGGAGCUCAACUCCAGAACUGCCUUCGAUACUGGCGAUCUCGAGUUCGGGAGAGGUGAGUGGAACUGCGAGUGUAGAGGUGAAAUUCGUAGAUAUUCGCAAGAACACCAGUGGCGAAGCGGCUCACUGGCCCGAUACUGACGCUGAGGUGCGAAAGCGUGGGGAGCAAACAGG